CCCUAUGGGGUGCAGCAGGCGCGAAACCUUUACAAUGCACGCAAGUGUGAUAAGGGAAUCCUGAGUGCUCAUCUUACGAUGGGCUUUUGCCAUGAGUAAAUAUCUUGGCGAAUAAGUGGUGGGUAAGACUGGUGCCAGCCGCCGCGGUAACACCAGCGCCACGAGUGGGAAUCAUGUUUAUUUGGCCUAAAGCGUCCGUAGCCGGCAUCGUAAAUCUUUUGUGAAAUCACCAGGCUCAACUUGGUGGCGUGCAGAAGACACUGCGACGCUUGGAACCGGGAGGAGUCAGAAGUAUGGGAUGGGGAGCGGUAAAAUGCGAUAAUCCAUCUUAGACUACCUGUGGCGAAGGCGUCUGACUAGAACGGAUUCGACGGUGAGGGACGAAAGCCAGGGGAGCGAUCCGGAUUAGAUACCCGAGUAGUCCUGGCUGUAAACGCUGCGAGCUAGGUGUUGCAUAUUCUACGUGAAUAUGCAGUGUCGAAGUGAAGACGUUAAGCUCGCCGCCUGGGAAGUACGGUCGCAAGACUGAUACUUAAAGGAAUUGGCAGGGGAGCACUACAAGGGGUGCGACGUGCGGUUUAAUCUAACUCCACGCAGAGAAUCUCACCGGGAGCGACGGCAGGAUGAAAGUCAGGCUGAAGACCUUACUAGACAAGCCGAGAAGAGGUGCAUGGGCCAA
Molecule: ribosomal RNA, 679 nt
Filed under: uncultured archaeon
Lineage: Archaea
Description: bacterial SSU rRNA
Rfam family: Archaeal small subunit ribosomal RNA
Source: RNAcentral